This 200-nucleotide ribosomal RNA is filed under the name uncultured prokaryote. RNAcentral's name for it is "partial 16S ribosomal RNA". It matches the Rfam family "Bacterial small subunit ribosomal RNA", at positions 1183 to 1382 of the family's 1533-position model. The record is from RNAcentral.
CGUCAAAUCAUCAUGCCCUAUAUGACCUGGGCUACACACGUGCUACAAUGGGGUGAACAACGGGAGGCGAACCCGCGAGGGUAAGCGGAGCCCUAAAAACACCUCUCAGUUCGGAUUGCAGGCUGCAACCCGCCUGCAUGAAGCCGGAAUUGCUAGUAAUCGCGGAUCAGCAAGCCGCGGUGAAUACGUUCCCGGGCCUU